Molecule: transfer RNA, 89 nt
Filed under: Alphaproteobacteria bacterium CG11_big_fil_rev_8_21_14_0_20_39_49
Lineage: Bacteria; Pseudomonadati; Pseudomonadota; Alphaproteobacteria
Description: tRNA-Leu
Rfam family: tRNA
About the family: Transfer RNA (tRNA) molecules are approximately 80 nucleotides in length. Their secondary structure includes four short double-helical elements and three loops (D, anti-codon, and T loops). Further hydrogen bonds mediate the characteristic L-shaped molecular structure. tRNAs have two regions of fundamental functional importance: the anti-codon, which is responsible for specific mRNA codon recognition, and the 3' end, to which the tRNAs corresponding amino acid is attached (by aminoacyl-tRNA synthetases). tRNAs cope with the degeneracy of the genetic code in two manners: having more than one tRNA (with a specific anti-codon) for a particular amino acid; and 'wobble' base-pairing, i.e. permitting non-standard base-pairing at the 3rd anti-codon position.
Source: RNAcentral
GCGACCGUGGCGGAACCGGUAGACGCGCAGCGUUGAGGUCGCUGUGCCUUUAAUUAGGCGUGGAAGUUCAAGUCUUCUCGGUCGCACCA